CAGUCUCCUACGGGUGGCUGCAGUGGGGAAUUUUGGACAAUGGGGGCAACCCUGAUCCAGCCAUGCCGCGUGCGGGAAGAAGGCCUUCGGGUUGUAAACCGCUUUUGUCAGGGAAGAAAAGGCGCCGGCUAAUACCCGGGGUUAAUGACGGUACCUGAAGAAUAAGCACCGGCUAACUACGUGCCAGCAGCCGCGGUAAUACGUAGGGUGCAAGCGUUAAUCGGAAUUACUGGGCGUAAAGCGUGCGCAGGCGGUUAUGUAAGACAGAUGUGAAAUCCCCGGGCUCAACCUGGGAACUGCAUUUGUGACUGCAUAGCUAGAGUGCGGCAGAGGGGGAUGGAAUUCCGCGUGUAGCAGUGAAAUGCGUAGAUAUGCGGAGGAACACCGAUGGCGAAGGCAAUCCCCUGGGCCUGCACUGACGCUCAUGCACGAAAGCGUGGGGAGCAAACAGGAUUAGAUACCCUAGUAGUCC
This 472-nucleotide ribosomal RNA is filed under the name Escherichia coli. RNAcentral's name for it is "bacterial SSU rRNA". It matches the Rfam family "Bacterial small subunit ribosomal RNA", at positions 332 to 796 of the family's 1533-position model. The record is from RNAcentral. Lineage: Bacteria; Pseudomonadati; Pseudomonadota; Gammaproteobacteria; Enterobacterales; Enterobacteriaceae.